Molecule: ribosomal RNA, 497 nt
Filed under: uncultured bacterium
Lineage: Bacteria
Description: partial 16S ribosomal RNA
Rfam family: Bacterial small subunit ribosomal RNA
Source: RNAcentral
GAUGAACGCUGGCGGCGUGCCUAAUACAUGCAAGUCGAGCGAACGGACGAGAAGCUUGCUUCUCUGAUGUUAGCGGCGGACGGGUGAGUAACACGUGGAUAACCUACCUAUAAGACUGGGAUAACUUCGGGAAACCGUAGCUAAUACCGGAUAAUAUUUUGAACCGCAUGGUUCAAAAGUGAAAGACGGUCUUGCUGUCACUUAUAGAUGGAUCCGCGCUGCAUUAGCUAGUUGGUAAGGUAACGGCUUACCAAGGCAACGAUGCAUAGCCGACCUGAGAGGGUGAUCGGCCACACUGGAACGGAGACACGGUCCAGACUACUACGGGAGGCAGCAGUAGGGAAUCUUCCGCAAUGGGCGAAAGCCUGACGGAGCAACGCCGCGUGAGUGAUGAAGGUCUUCGGAUCGUAAAACUCUGUUAUUAGGGAAGAACAUAUGUGUAAGUAACUGUGCACAUCUUGACGGUACCUAAUCAGAAAGCCACGGCUAACUACGUG